UGUUCAAUAUUAUUUAACUUUAAGAAUUCAUUUAUGUUUUAACAGUGUCUGAACAAGUUUUAUCGAUACAUUCUGGUGCAACCGGCCCUUUAAGAGCAUUCAGGAAGUCGAUUUGGCCCAAAACGAAAAUGACUUUGACACCUUUGACUUACAACAAGACAGUUUCUCCAUAAGUAGUUCUUUUCCUUUAAUAUUACAAGCUACUUGUAAGCUAGUUCUGUCUCAUUUCCAGUGUACUCAGAUAUUUUCACUGAAGCAAAACU
Xiphophorus couchianus (Monterrey platyfish) is the source of this 263-nucleotide long non-coding RNA. RefSeq lists it as uncharacterized. NCBI's taxonomy places the organism in Eukaryota, Metazoa, Chordata, Actinopteri, Cyprinodontiformes, Poeciliidae. The transcript is spliced from 3 exons. The record is from RefSeq and is a predicted model, not a curated record.